GAUGAAGAACGCAGCGAAAUGCGAUACGUAAUGUGAAUUGCAAAUUCAGUGAAUCAUCGAGUCUUUGAACGCACAUUGCGCCCCCUGGUAUUCCGGGGGGCAUGCCUGUCCGAGCGUCAUUGCUGCCCUCAAGCACGGCUUGUGUGUUGGGCCCCGUCCUCCGAUCCCGGGGGACGGGCCCGAAAGGCAGCGGCGGCACCGCGUCCGGUCCUCGAGCGUAUGGGGCUUUGUCACCCGCUCUGUAGGCCCGGCCGGCGCUUGCCGAUCAACCCAAAUUUUUAUCCAGGUUGACCUCGGAUCAGGUAGGGAUACCCGCUGAACUUAGGCAUAUCAAUAAGCGGAGGA
Molecule: unclassified non-coding RNA, 345 nt
Filed under: soil metagenome
Description: partial contains 5.8S ribosomal RNA, internal transcribed spacer 2, and large subunit ribosomal RNA
Rfam family: 5.8S ribosomal RNA (bases 1-119)
Source: RNAcentral